GGUGCUGAUUACGGUGAGGGUCCACCCGUUCCCAUUCCGAACACGGUAGUUAAGCUCAUUUGUGCCCACGAUACUUCCCCGGCGACGGGGCGGGAAAAUAGGUCG
RNAcentral lists this ribosomal RNA (105 nucleotides) under Clostridia bacterium. Lineage: Bacteria; Bacillati; Bacillota; Clostridia. The record is from RNAcentral.